CGGAGAGUCCUUUCCAUUAUCGGGAUUGAGCAGGUUGUUGCCAAAUCUGUUAAGUCAACUGGUGAAUCCACAACAGUUCCAAACACUGGUUAUGCUGGAUUGGCUCGAUCUUCAUCUUGGUUUGAUAUGAAUGGAGGACAUUUACCUCUGACUUUUAGAACUCCUCCUGUUAGUCCGCCGCGGCCUAGUUACUUGACAGGAAUGCGAAGAGUUUGUUCUUUAGAGUUCAG
This 230-nucleotide unclassified non-coding RNA is filed under the name Hevea brasiliensis (rubber tree). Lineage: Eukaryota; Viridiplantae; Streptophyta; Magnoliopsida; Malpighiales; Euphorbiaceae. The record is from RNAcentral.